RNAcentral lists this ribosomal RNA (688 nucleotides) under uncultured archaeon. RNAcentral describes it as "bacterial SSU rRNA". It matches the Rfam family "Archaeal small subunit ribosomal RNA", at positions 382 to 1000 of the family's 1478-position model. The record is from RNAcentral.
UGAGUGGUGUAAGCUUAGCUUAUAUCUUUUGCCAAGUGUAAAUAGCUUGGAGAAUAAGGGUGUGGGCAAGACUGGUGGCAGCCGCCGCGGUAAAACCAGCGCCUCUAGUGGUAUCCACGAAUAUUGGGCCUAAAGCGUUCGUAGCCGGUUUGUUAAGUCUACUGUGAAAUGUUGGGGCUUCACCCUAACGCGCGCAGUGGAUACUGGCAGACUUGGGAGCGGGGGAGGGCCGGAGUACUUUCAGGGUAGGGGUAAAAACCUGUGAAUUGCAGUUACAAUUUACAGGAUUGCAAUCCGUUGAGCCUGAAAGGACUACCAGUGGCGAAGGCGCCUGCCCAAAACGCGUCCGACGGUGAGGAACGAAAGCUGGGGGAGCGAACGGGAUUAGAUACCCCGGUAGUCCCAGCUGUAAAUGAUGCAGACUGUGGUGUUACAUUAUCAUAAGAUAGUGUAGUGCUGUAGCGUAGAGCCUUUUGACUUACGAGUCAUUGGUACGCAUGUGUUAAGUCUGCCGCCUGGGGAGUACGAUCGCAAGAUUGAAACUUAAAGGAAUUGGCGGGGGAGCACCACAAGGGGUGGAUGCUACGGUUCAAUUGGAUACAACGCCGGAAACAUCACCAAGGGCGACGGCAGAAUGAAGGCCAGUCUAAAGAACUUGCCCAACAAGCCGAGAGGUGGUGCAUGGCCA